CACCAGACUCCUACGGGAGGCAGCAGUGGGGAAUAUUGCACAAUGGGGGGAACCCUGAUGCAGCGACGCCGCGUGAGUGAAGAAGUAUUUCGGUAUGUAAAGCUCUAUCAGCAGGGAAGAAAAUGACGGUACCUGACUAAGAAGCCCCGGCUAACUACGUGCCAGCAGCCGCGGUAAUACGUAGGGGGCAAGCGUUAUCCGGAUUUACUGGGUGUAAAGGGAGCGUAGGCGGCUGUGUAAGCCAGAAGUGAAAGCCCGGGGCUCAACUCCGGGACUGCUUUUGGAACUACAUGGCUUGAUUGCAGGAGAGGCAAGUGGAAUUCCUAGUGUAGCGGUGAAAUGCGUAGAUAUUAGGAGGAACACCAGUGGCGAAGGCGGCUUGCUGGACUGUAAAUGACGCUGAGGCUCGAAAGCGUGGGGAGCAAACAGGAUUAGAUACCCUGGUACC
This 448-nucleotide ribosomal RNA is filed under the name uncultured bacterium. RNAcentral describes it as "bacterial SSU rRNA". It matches the Rfam family "Bacterial small subunit ribosomal RNA", at positions 329 to 794 of the family's 1533-position model. The record is from RNAcentral.